Molecule: long non-coding RNA, 5114 nt
Filed under: Canis lupus familiaris (dog)
Lineage: Eukaryota; Metazoa; Chordata; Mammalia; Carnivora; Canidae
Description: lncRNA (ENSCAFG00030025553.1)
Source: RNAcentral
AUGCUCAUUCACACACACACACAUACACACACACACCCAGAACCUCCACUUCACACACGUACACACAUGCACACAUGCACACACAUACUCCUGAAUCCCUGUCUUUCCCCUUCGAUCCCUCAGGAAUCUUGUGUGGAAAGUGAGUUCAGAUUCCCCCCUCAUAUGUAUUUUAGGUUCAAAUUCUAUUCCCAGCAAAGAGAUAAAGCUGAAGGCAUUUUAGAAGCUCGUAUCUUAAAUAGCAAAGUAGAGAAGAUAUAUACAAAGAGCUCCAGAUUCAUUUUGCUAUACUUUGCAUUUUCUCACCUCAUACUUCUAUUUAUGUAACCAAGUUAUGACAAUGAAUUGGCAUUUUCUUGUGGAUGACAUAUGAUCUUCUAUUUUACAGAGUCAACGCUUCCAUGAGCAAAAGCAACCGAGGCAGUGACUGAGCUGUUUCUCUCCUGUCUAUUUAUUACAUAGCCAUCUAACAGAUCUUUCCUGAGCACCUACUAUGUGUCAGGCACUGAGCCAAGAGCUGCGAGUGUCCUGACAGAUGAGACCCACACAGCCUGUGCUCGCACAGACCUUGCUUUACUCCCACUGUAUCUGUCUUUCUUUCCUAUUUAAACCAAGUACUUCAAAAAUUAAUGGUCAUACAUCACAUUUUAUGUAAUCUUAGACAAGUUCCUACUCCUCUAAUUUUGGGUUUAUCGUAAUACCAGACUUGGUCCUAUGCUGUCUGGUUUUGAUGCAAGAUUGAGAGCGUCUUGGAGAUCUUACCACCAAACAUUAACUGCACGUUGGAUUUCUGACAAAAUUAUGUUAACUAUUCACAGAUGAUUGGGAAAGUGUGUCUAUGAUCAGGAAAGAGGUAAAAUGUGAUGGCUUCCAUCUUAUGGAACAAUACAUAUUAAAUAAACUGUUAAACUUGCCACCUUUCCGUUCAGAACUAGUUUAUUCCUUUCAAGGCGAGGGGAUGGCGCUCGAGAACAUGACUCAGUCUCAGUCCUGUGCCAACACAGGAGGAGUUCAAAAAAGGGUGAGUCACCGUCACAUAGACGGGUCCGAGAAUACAGGGGGGUGACCCACAUGAAGACAGAGGGAGCCAGAAAACAGGGAAUACAGGGUCCAAGCGAGGUCACAGCCUCAGAAUCUUUCUCAACAAAUAGCAGAGGAAGAGCACCAAAUGUUCUACAAUGACCUGAUUUGACCAGGGUCAUUUGGUGACGAAUCCUAAAACAUGAAGGAAGAAUAAUGAGCCAAAGCCGUGACAGCCAGGCAGCUGCGACACUGAGGAUGGAGCAGCCUUGCCAUGGCCUGGGCCACAGAGGCACCAAGAGCACCCAUUGCAUGUGGCCUCCAUGGCUAGCACCAAGAUUGGCAAGACAAAGCGGAACAAAAGCCAGGACAAAUGCUCAGAGUUGAAUUUCCAGCUGCAAGCAAAACUCAGCAGCAGCAGGUCCCUAUGUUCACCCUUCUCACAAGCGUCACAGCUCCCAGGACCACCUUCUACCUCUGGCGUGUAUGCAGUAGUGGGUGGGGCGCACCCAGCUGUGGGCUUCAUGGUGGCUAGCUUUGUGGCAGUUACACAGCUGAGACCAGCAGCAGAGCGACAGGGCAGGACUGGGGACCCCCUGGACCCACUGUGAGAGGGAGCUCAGCUGAAACUCCAUUGACCACUGACCUUCACGAGCCCUUCUCUGAUGGGUGGCCGCAGGGAGGUCUGGGGUCUCCUGGAAUCUGUCAGUUCAGAACCAGGAAUCCUCAAAACAUCAAUUUCUUUUCCUCAGUACCCGGUCACCCCGGGGGAGGGCCAGGAGAAAGGGUAACAGUAUAUAUUCUCAGCAAAUACCACGAAAAAACACAGUGUCCCUUCACUCAAGGGGUUCUAUGGACUGGCUCAAGUCUAGGAAGUGAUUAAGGGACCAUGACUCUGUUUUCAUGAUUUAGGAUGGACUUUUGUUCACUUGAUCUAGAACUGAUCUCUCAAUCUAGAACUGUUCUGUUCAUACAGAUCAAGGAAGGCUUUAGUUGGCCUCCCAUUUGUGUUACCUCUGGGAAUGCCGUGAUGAAUGAGCCAAUACCGUGGGUCUCUGCAUGUCAGACUAUUCUGAUUUCUGCUUUGAUUGACUCUGCUGUGCAUUGUGGUGACCACAACCACCCUGCAUUUGGAGCUUGAGUGCCCCCACCUGUCCCCUUCCUCUUGGAAUUCAAUUACUCCCAUUGUGUCAUGUUUCACACUAUGAGGUCCAGCCUUCAGAGAAGAAUGAUCACAGGGCUCUCCAGUUGACUGGGCACCCCCACAGAUUAACUGCACCCAGUUAUAUUAUAGUGAAAGGGGAGCCCCCUGGACCCUUGCAGGAUGAGCAGGUCUUACAUGAUAAAUCCACCCUAACACUCCAAUGUCCCUAAGCCAUUAGAUACCUUCUGGAGCACACUAAACCUAUCCUGGCAUUUUGACUUCAUUAAGUGUAGGCCACCAUUCAGUCCACAUCCUUUUUUUUUUUUUUUUAAGAUUUUAUUUAUUUUUUCAUGAGAGACAGAGAGAGAGAGAGAGAGGCAGAGACACAGGCAGAGGGAGAAGCAGGCUCCAUUGCAGGGAGCCUGAUGUGGGACUCGGUCCCGGGACUCCAGGAUCAGGCCCUGGGCAGAAGGCAGCGCUAAACCGCUGAGCCCCCCGGGCUGCCCAGACAUCUUAGCCAACCAAUCACACAAGCCCUUGCUGACCUCUCAGACUAAGGACACUGAACACACAAUCUCUACUUAGUGAGUUCAUAUCCAUAAAUCCAGCCUGAUCCAAUGUUAUGUCCCUUCCACCUUUGUCCCACACCUUUAAUUGCCAUCCCCACAUAUAUUCCCCAGAUUUCCGUUCAUAGAAAGGGGGAAAACCACACAGUUCUUCCCAAGUAUGGCAGAUCUCCUCUUGGUCACAUGGUCUCUUCAGGUCCCAUGGGGACUUGAGCCAAGCUUAGGUCUGGAAGCCAAGAGGAGUGGGAGAGAGUCAGCAGUGCCCUGCAUGGCCUUUCAGGGAACAACCUUUCCAGAACUGAGCUGUUGGUUAGACGUGGAGAAGUAGGAAAGGGGAAGCGGUAUGAACUGGGUGCCCAGGAAAUGGUGGAGUCAGAAGCUAGGAUGGAGAGUGGAGUGCACACUCUGGGCUGGGGGUGGGGUAUCUCAUGUACUUACUGGAAGAUUUAAUGUUCUGUCUAUAUUUAUUCAUUUGAAUAACUCAGUCAUAUGAAACAUUUUUUCACCUCCUUAAUGAGGUCAACUCCAGGUAGUAUAGCAUUGUUCGUUUUAGUUCUCAAAUGUGAUAAAUACCAGGCUGUAUUCAUUCACACAUAUACAUAUAUUUGGUCAGUUUUACUGAUGUGUAAUUUGCAUACAUACUCCACAUUUAAGUAUAUAAUUUGAUGAGCUUCAGCAGGCGUGCACCCUGCUACACUAACUCCCCAACACUCCCGUCUCUCCUAUCCUGAGUCCCAAUAUGACCUGACCAGGGGUGCAAAAUCUGUGACAGUGUUAGUUUCAAGUGUAUGAAAGGAACAUUGACAAAAGUAAGAGAAGUAGACAGACUCACUUCUGUAACUGUAGAUUUUAACAUCCCAUCCCUCUCUUAGUAAUUGGUGGUCCAAUUAGAUAAUUGAUCUGUAAGGACAUGUAAGCUCCAACUGACACUAUUAGCCACCUCAACCUAAUUGGUAUAGAACCCUACACCUAACAACUGAAAAAUAUACAUUUAUUUAAAGUAUACAUGGAAUGUUCUCCAAGAUAGACUGCAUGCUGGGACAUAAAGUAAUUCUCGAUGAAUUUCAAAAGAUUUGAAGAUUCAAGAGUAUGUUCUCUGAGUACAGUGGAACUAAAGUAGAAAUCAUUAACAAUAUCUCUGGUUAAUGUCUAGAUAUCUGAAGAUUAAACUUUUGUUACACAGGGCUACUUCUAUGCAAUUUACUAUAAUUCUUUUUUUGUAUUCAUAGUCUUUCGAGUAACUUCCUUGAGAUUAUACAUUAAUUAAAAGCAGGGCCUGUGAUUCAACCAACUCUGUCACACCCAAUGUCCACACACUGCUUUGCUAUAAUAAGAUCUCGGUAAGUGCUUGAUGAGGGAGUAGGUGAGCAAUGGUUUCCAGGAAUCUAGGGAGAGCUUCACUCAGAGAAAAAAUUGCUUCAGGUAAAAAAUGUCAGGGAUUGUCAACAGGCUAGUGAAGAGAAAUAGAUAGAGAAGGGUCUUUGUUGGUGACCUUGAAUUAAAAGGUCAUAGGAACACCCAAGUGCUCACAUGUACAUACCUGUGCACACAGGCUUCCAGGCAGGGUUGAGAAUCAUUAUCUUAGACCUUCUCCUUUGGGUAAAUGCGUCUGGGGAGUCGGCCUCCCCUGUGCCUUCACAUUUGGAAGCUGAAUGUCUGCCACGGAGGGUGUGCAAACAGGUAAGUGUGGGUCCAGGAGGCUGGCAAUGCUCCCAAAUCUCAGCCAAACCACUCGAUCACCCCUAAAGAACCCAGGCCUCUGGUCCCUCUGCACGUGGUUGCAGCUGCCCAUGGCCCUCUGGGCCAGGAACACAGCAUCCUCCAGAUCCUAUAAUCCCAGGAGCCACCCUCACUCUCAGACCCCACCUAGAGUUCAUUCUUGCUCUAAACUAGACAGAAGCAAACUUCUCCAAUGACAGAACCCAAAGGAACCCAUUUGACCAUAAUACUCACAUUUGCCUUCUUUUUCAGGGAUACAAACCUAUUUUGAGGCCAGUGACAUGCAGUGGUACUUUCAAGUUGAGCUGGAGUGUUUCCUCUCCCCAGGCACCUAGAGUGAGUGUUGCAAAUUCCCUGAAACACAAAUAAUUCCCAUUAGCUCUGGGAAACGGAAAGGUCAAACUGCCCUGUUUGAGUGCUUUGUGAAUUGUUGUUAUAUAAGCAAACAAAUAAUGACCAAGUAUCACCCCUCUAAGAACUACAUGGAAUCACCGACCUGCAGAGCAGGAUGGGGUUCCUCUAGGGUGCUACUCAUAAUCACACCAUUUGUUGCAACUGAAUUGUGUCCCUCCCAACCCAUAAACUAAAGUCCCAGUCCCCAGGACCCUCAGGACAUGAGCUUUUUUGGGGUUGGUGCAAACGUAACUAGUUAAGAUGAGGAUGUGCUA